GUACAGUACCAGCGAACUAGAUGAGGAGUUUUUAUUUUAAUUCCGAUUUUGCUUCUGUUUUUACAUAGAAGGACUUGGGUUUUAAUUGAGUUUAGACCAGAUUAAGAACUAAACUGAUGGGCCAAGGGUUCGGGCUUGAAAAGAAUAUUGAAACCCUAGCCCACUUUGCAUGGGGUUUAGUCUAGAGGGGGGAAAACCCUGUUCUUUCACAAUCAGAACAGAACCUGCACAAACUCACGUAAGAACAGAAAGGGAAGCAUACAGAAGAGAGAAAAGAGAGAACUCGAGAGAGAGCAAGAGAAGCCGCCGCCGCCCAAGCGAUAACCAUCAUCGUGUAGCGCGCGCAAGGGAGUGGAGGAGGUCGCGCGCGAGGGAGAGAAGAGGGACGGCGAGAGAAGCUGAGAACGUGGACAGCAACGUUUCUGAACCGUGUUCAUCACCAAAGCUUCUUCUUUUCAGACCAAGAACCCAAGAUGGUCGUGAAGAUAAUGGCGAUGACUCAUUCUUGGGAGUUGAUGCUACGUGACGUGCCAAUACCGGAGGACGACUACACUUCAGAGGAAGAGGAAGAGGCUAAGGAAUAGGGUUUGGGUUGAGAGUCUUUUGUUUUCUGUUGGGGUUGAGAGUUUCCGAAGUGUUGGUAUCGAACAAUUUUAUUGCUUAAAUUCGAAUGAACAAGUUUUGAUGUAAUCUUUAUUUUCAUUCAGGCCUUUGAUUCGUACUCUUUACAGUUGGUUAUUUAAAAAGUUUUACGAUGUUGGUUA
Long non-coding RNA from Lotus japonicus, 764 nucleotides. RefSeq lists it as uncharacterized. The transcript is spliced from 2 exons. The record is from RefSeq and is a predicted model, not a curated record. Lineage: Eukaryota; Viridiplantae; Streptophyta; Magnoliopsida; Fabales; Fabaceae.